ACACGUAGGGGGCAAGCGUUGUUCGGAAUUACUGGGCGUAAAGGGCAUGUAGGCGGUUUUGUAAGCCUGGCGUGAAAGGCUGCAGCUCAACUGUAGCACUGCGCUGGGAACUGUGAGACUUGAGUCACGGAGAGGGAGCCAGAAUUCCAGGUGUAGGGGUGAAAUCUGUAGAUAUCUGGAAGAAUACCAAUGGCGAAGGCAGGCUUCUGGCCGAUGACUGACGCUGAGGUGCGAAAGCGUGGGUAGCAAACAGGAUUAGAUACCCUGGUAGUCCACGCGGUAAACGAUGCACACUAGGUGCCGGGGCGGACGCUUCGGUGCCGGAGCCAACGUGGUAAGUGUGCCGCCUGGGGAGUAUGCUCGCAAGGGUGAA
Molecule: ribosomal RNA, 373 nt
Filed under: uncultured bacterium
Lineage: Bacteria
Description: bacterial SSU rRNA
Rfam family: Bacterial small subunit ribosomal RNA
Source: RNAcentral